This 355-nucleotide long non-coding RNA is filed under the name Gossypium barbadense (sea-island cotton). RNAcentral describes it as "long non-coding RNA (GBAR_LNC015016)". Lineage: Eukaryota; Viridiplantae; Streptophyta; Magnoliopsida; Malvales; Malvaceae. The record is from RNAcentral.
AGGAUUAGAGGAUGAGUUCUUGAUGGGAUAUGAAGCCUCCAUUGCUAUACCACACAGUCCUUGUUUGUCUCUGAUCCCACGUUCCAUCCUUAUGUAACCUUUCUCACCCCAUUCCGCUCCCCAUGAGUUCUUCACUAUCCAGUACUUGGUUCCAUCCAAGGUUGUUCCAUACCCCACUGCUGCUACCCCAUGGUUCAGCUCUGUCCCACAUUCUCCCGUGAAUACCCCCUCGGAGUAGAACUGGAAAUCCAUACUCCCAGCAUCAAUAGCCACUGAAACCGGCUGGUUUGCAACAGCUUUAAGCAGAGCAUCCUCGUCGUUAGCUGGCACAUUCUCGUGCCCAUCGAUAGCCACU